UAGGGAAUCUUCGGCAAUGGACGAAAGUCUGACCGAGCAACGCCGCGUGAGUGAAGAAGGUUUUCGGAUCGUAAAACUCUGUUGUUAGAGAAGAACAAGGACGUUAGUAACUGAACGUCCCCUGACGGUAUCUAACCAGAAAGCCACGGCUAACUACGUGCCAGCAGCCGCGGUAAUACGUAGGUGGCAAGCGUUGUCCGGAUUUAUUGGGCGUAAAGCGAGCGCAGGCGGUUUCUUAAGUCUGAUGUGAAAGCCCCCGGCUCAACCGGGGAGGGUCAUUGGAAACUGGGAGACUUGAGUGCAGAAGAGGAGGGUGGAAUUCCAUGUGUAGCGGUGAAAUGCGUAGAUAUAUGGAGGAAAACCAGUGGCGAAGGCGGCUCUAUGGUCUGUAACUGACGCUGAGGCUCGAAAGCGUGGGGAGCAAACAGG
This 429-nucleotide ribosomal RNA is filed under the name Gemmatimonadota bacterium. Its description in RNAcentral is "Gemmatimonadetes bacterium partial 16S ribosomal RNA". It matches the Rfam family "Bacterial small subunit ribosomal RNA", at positions 355 to 776 of the family's 1533-position model. Lineage: Bacteria; Pseudomonadati; Gemmatimonadota. The record is from RNAcentral.